CUCAAUUGCUUUACUAAUUGUUGGGUUUUGGCUUGCAGGGAGUAGAGGACCAUAUAUCUGAUUAAAAAGUCUAGAAUCCUGCCAGAGAAAACGGUCCCCCAGUUCCCACAAAACAUCAACUUUACCGUUUCUUUUCUUGCUUUUCUCCUUAUCUUUGAGACAAAGAAGAUGCUCUUUCAAUAUCUUUUUCUAUAGUUGGAAUCUUUACAACAUUUCUCUGAACUCAAAAGAAACCACCACAUUUCUGUCUCUGCAAUCCAUUCAAACAUAAAAGAGAAACAGAAAUCCCUUCACUACUUCAAAACCCAUCAAAAAUCUUUGCCCGUUAGCGGUUAAAGAAAAGAAAAAGGGCAACUCUUUCAACUGUAGCAGAGAUAGAGAUGGUGAAUAUGCAUCGUCGUCUGCUCGAUACAGAGCUAAGCUUGGCACCGGCAAAUGGGAACAGAGCAGGUGAUUCCUACAUUAAGGAAACAAAUUUCGACACAAACAUGGUGAUCAUAUUGGCUGUCUUGUUGUGUGCGCUGAUUGGUGCGCUUGGAUUGAACUCUAUUCUGCGUUGCGCUUUGCGUUGUAGCCGUAGGUUUACUCUCGAGACACCAGAGCAAGCUGCAGCUCGUUUGGCCGCCACAGGGCUCAAGAAACGCCAUUUGCGCCAGAUUCCAGUGGCGGUUUACGGCACUGAAGUGAAUGUCCCGGCAACGGAGUGCCCAAUUUGCUUAGGGGAGUUUGCUGAUGGAGAAAAAGUUCGGGUGCUUCCUAAAUGCAAUCAUAGGUUCCAUGUGAGGUGCAUAGACACAUGGCUUGUGUCACACUCCUCAUGCCCCAACUGCCGACUUUCAUUACUUGAACACACGGCGGCUGGUUCAGGUGCAGCUAGGCCACAGCCGGAGAAUGAUGACCGACGGCAAGCUAGUGUUGCUGUUGUUGUUGAAGGGCCAAGUUGAUGAAAUACUGCAACAACGCAGAGGAAGUCCUAAUUGAGUUUUCUGUUUUAGAUGAUGACUAAGUUGUAUAAUGAUAAAAAGAUUUAUAGGCCAAAUUGCAAAUUCAGAAAAGUUUUAGAUUAUCACUUUAAAAAACGGAAAUGGGAGCAGAUUUUUUUUUACCAAAAAAAAGCAAUAAUAUCAAUAAAAUAAAU
RNAcentral lists this unclassified non-coding RNA (1138 nucleotides) under Hevea brasiliensis (rubber tree). Lineage: Eukaryota; Viridiplantae; Streptophyta; Magnoliopsida; Malpighiales; Euphorbiaceae. The record is from RNAcentral.